GUGUUCACUUUGGCAGCACAUAUACUAACAAAUUGGAACAACACAGAGAUUAGCUUGGCCACUGCACUAGAGUGACAUGCACAUUCAUGAAGCAUUCCAUAUUGAA
Small nuclear RNA from Ochotona curzoniae (black-lipped pika), 106 nucleotides. Lineage: Eukaryota; Metazoa; Chordata; Mammalia; Lagomorpha; Ochotonidae. The record is from RefSeq and is a predicted model, not a curated record.